UACGUAGGGUGCGAGCGUUUGUCCGGAAUUAUUGGGCGUAAAGAGCUCGUAGGCGGUCUGUCGCGUCGAUCGUGAAAACUUGGGGCUUAACCCUGAGCUUGCGGUCGAUACGGGGCAUGGACUGGAGUUCGGGCAGGGGGAGACUGGAAUUCCUGGUGUAGCGGUGAAAUGCGCAGAUAUCAGGAGGAACACCGGUGGGCGAAGGCGG
This 208-nucleotide ribosomal RNA is filed under the name uncultured bacterium. RNAcentral's name for it is "partial 16S ribosomal RNA". It matches the Rfam family "Bacterial small subunit ribosomal RNA", at positions 524 to 724 of the family's 1533-position model. The record is from RNAcentral.